RNAcentral lists this ribosomal RNA (432 nucleotides) under uncultured bacterium. RNAcentral describes it as "partial 16S ribosomal RNA". It matches the Rfam family "Bacterial small subunit ribosomal RNA", at positions 29 to 507 of the family's 1533-position model. The record is from RNAcentral.
AACGAACGCUGGCGGCAUGCCUAACACAUGCAAGUCGAGCGAGACCUUCGGGUCUGGUGGCGCCGGGGUGGUUAAGCCGUGGGAACCUGCCUUUAGGUUGGGAAAAAUUCCCCGAAGGGGGGGCAAAUACCGGAAAAGUCUUUGGGCCCAAGAUUUAUCGCCUUUGGAUGGGGCCGCGUUGGAUUAGCUAGUUGGUAGGGUAAAAGCCCAACAAGGCGACGAUCCAUAGCUGGUCUGAGAGGAUGAUCAGCCACACUGGGACUGAGACACGGCCCAGACUCCUACGGGAGGCAGCAGUGGGGAAUAUUGGACAAUGGGCGAAAGCCUGAUCCAGCAAUGCCGCGUGAGUGAUGAAGGCCUUAGGGUUGUAAAGCUCUUUUACCCGGGAUGAUAAUGACAGUACCGGGAGAAUAAGCUCCGGCUAACUCCGUG